This 964-nucleotide long non-coding RNA is filed under the name Hordeum vulgare. RNAcentral describes it as "long non-coding RNA (HVUL_LNC011642)". Lineage: Eukaryota; Viridiplantae; Streptophyta; Magnoliopsida; Poales; Poaceae. The record is from RNAcentral.
CCAUAUUUGUAAUAGACCCAUAAUCAAGCAUAGUGUGGAUGCAGCAGAUGGUCGAUAACCCUUUCUCCUUCCCUAGGACUUGCCAAUUGUAUCUACAACAAAUUAAUUCAGGCAAUCGUCAUCAACAUGAGCUGGAACCGAUUACAAACACUAAGUUACGAACAAAGCAAAUACCCAAGAGCUUCUCACCACAAGACAAUAGAAUUGUAGCGAAGGAAAAUCUAUGCAAAUUUGAAGAUGAAAAGGCAACCUCAUGGAUAAGCAUAGAUACUAGGAUUGUAUUGCCAGACGAAGAAGGCACAACAUGUACCACAAAGGGUACGAAUAAACAUCGUGUGAGAUGAUAUAACUCAUUUCAGAAAGGUACACGGAUAAGAAUAGUACUGGUGAUUGAGGAUGCACCUCAUAGAUGGAAGACAAUGAAAUAAUAGCACUGUUACACAAUAGGACAUAAAUAGUGAAGAAUGUCGUUGUGGCAUAAAUCCCAUGAACUCAUUUCAGAAAGGUAGAAGGUUAAAAUACUAUUGGUGAUUGAAAAUGCAGCACAUAGAUGGCGGACUCUGAAAUAAUAGCAAUACUACACAAUAGGAGGAAUGCUUCUAGAACACAAAUAGUGAAGAAUAUCGUUGUGGCAUCAAUCCCCAUUCACGAGAAGAGGUCAUCCGAAAAAUAGACACAACAGAAAUUUAUAACAUUGUAAUGCAAGCAACUUUUGUUAUGCACAAAACUCCAAGAACGGAAAUGUCGUUUUCUUGAAGUACUCUUCUGGUGGAAUAUGGAAUAUCAUUAUGGAAUUCCUUGCAUCCACACAGGUGAUAAGGGCAUACCUCCUAGUCUGCUCAGUUGAUUGAGUGUAGCUACAAAAUAAGCUUGGUUCUUGGACCUAAAUUUGCUUUCACUUUAUAAGAGAUAGACCAUUUGCGCAACAACAAAGUGAAAACAUCAGUCCUUUGAACCAUGAAAC